Non-coding RNA from Pangasius djambal, 72 nucleotides. The record is from the annotation of a GenBank genome assembly. NCBI's taxonomy places the organism in Eukaryota, Metazoa, Chordata, Actinopteri, Siluriformes, Pangasiidae.
UACCUGGAGGACUAGUGGUUAGGCCGUGGUGCUUUCACUGCCACGGCCCAGGUUUGAUUCUCAGCCAGGGAA